Molecule: ribosomal RNA, 89 nt
Filed under: Sulfurisoma sediminicola
Lineage: Bacteria; Pseudomonadati; Pseudomonadota; Betaproteobacteria; Nitrosomonadales; Sterolibacteriaceae
Source: RNAcentral
CACCCCUUCCCUUCCCGAACAGGACCGUGAAACACCUCCGCGCCAAUGAUAGUCGGUUAACCUCCGGCGAAAGUAGGUCAGCACCAGAC